This 345-nucleotide unclassified non-coding RNA is filed under the name soil metagenome. Its description in RNAcentral is "partial contains 5.8S ribosomal RNA, internal transcribed spacer 2, and large subunit ribosomal RNA". The stretch from base 1 to 121 matches the Rfam family "5.8S ribosomal RNA", at positions 35 to 154 of the family's 154-position model. The record is from RNAcentral.
GAUGAAGAACGUAGCGAAAUGCGAUAAGUAAUGCGAAUUGCAGAAUUUCCGUGAGUCAUCGAAUCUUUGAACGCACAUUGCGCCCACUGGUAUUCCGGUGGGCAUGCCUGUUCGAGCGUCAUUAUCCUCCCUCAAACCUCGGGUUUGGUGUUGGACCCAAGUUGUGUGAACAACUGGUCUCAAAGACAAUGACGGCGUCCGUGGGACCCUCGGUGCAACGAGCUUUUAGGAGCACGCGUCGAGUUUCAAGGACCUUCCGGGCCGGUCUCCUUUACUAUUUUUACAAGGUUGACCUCGGAUCAGGUAGGAAUACCCGCUGAACUUAAGCAUAUCAAAAGCGGAGGA